UUUAAAUACAAAUUGUAAUGUUUUGUCUUAUAGUUAUAGCUUUAGCAGCUUUAGCAAAGAGAGAGCCAUUGGCAGCUAGCCAAGGCAUUCAUUGUCCAGCUGGAUUUCAAAAUGUCCAUGGGUCGUGUUAUUUGGUCAGCUUGACCCCUACAACGUGGAACGCAGCUAAGGUAAUUUGCCAAAGUCACAAUGCACAUUUAGCUGAUUUCUCUUCUCGUUAUGAAAUAGUACCUGUCAUGCUAGAUGCAGUGAUUCCGAAGUCAUCAAGUUUUAAAUAUAGGGAUCCGAAAGUUUGGAUUGAUGCCAUCUAUUCGCCAAGCCAAAAACACUGGAUUUGGUCUCACGACUCAUCGUUAGUUAAUUACCGUUAUUUUACCCAAUUGGCACAUAGUCCUGGAACAACAGAAAGAUGUGUUUUUGCUAUUGUUAAUACUGGCAUUAAUCCUUGGGCUCACGAAUUUGAUGUUGAUUGCGAUAAAAGUUACCUUCCGCUAUGUGAAGCGAGACCAAUCUAAUCAUGGCUUUUCAACAUUCUUAUAGCAAAAUUUUGUUUAUUAAAUUGUCGAAUUUUA
Molecule: long non-coding RNA, 572 nt
Organism: Mytilus californianus (California mussel)
Lineage: Eukaryota; Metazoa; Mollusca; Bivalvia; Mytilida; Mytilidae
Exons: 4
Source: RefSeq, a predicted model, not a curated record